This 740-nucleotide ribosomal RNA is filed under the name uncultured bacterium. Its description in RNAcentral is "bacterial SSU rRNA". It matches the Rfam family "Bacterial small subunit ribosomal RNA", at positions 8 to 796 of the family's 1533-position model. The record is from RNAcentral.
AGAGUUUGAUCAUGGCUCAGAACGAACGCUGGCGGCAGGCUUAACACAUGCAAGUCGAGCGCCCCGCAAGGGGAGCGGCAGACGGGUGAGUAACGCGUGGGAAUCUACCCAGCUCUACGGAAUAACUCAGGGAAACUUGUGCUAAUACCGUAUACGUCCGAUAGGAGAAAGAUUUAUCGGAGUUGGAUGAGCCCGCGUUGGAUUAGCUAGUUGGUGGGGUAAUGGCCUACCAAGGCGACGAUCCAUAGCUGGUCUGAGAGGAUGAUCAGCCACAUUGGGACUGAGACACGGCCCAAACUCCUACGGGAGGCAGCAGUGGGGAAUAUUGGACAAUGGGCGCAAGCCUGAUCCAGCCAUGCCGCGUGAGUGAUGAAGGCCCUAGGGUUGUAAAGCUCUUUCACCGGUGAAGAUAAUGACGGUAACCGGAGAAGAAGCCCCGGCUAACUUCGUGCCAGCAGCCGCGGUAAUACGAAGGGGGCUAGCGUUGUUCGGAAUUACUGGGCGUAAAGCGCACGUAGGCGGACAUUUAAGUCAGGGGUGAAAUCCCGGGGCUCAACCCCGGAACUGCCUUUGAUACUGGGUGUCUUGAGUUCGAGAGAGGUGAGUGGAAUUCCGAGUGUAGAGGCGAAAUUCGUAGAUAUUCGGAGGAACACCAGUGGCGAAGGCGGCUCACUGGCUCGAUACUGACGCUGAGGUGCGAAAGCGUGGGGAGCAAACAGGAUUAGAUACCCUAGUAGUCC